This 292-nucleotide ribosomal RNA is filed under the name uncultured bacterium. RNAcentral describes it as "partial 16S ribosomal RNA". It matches the Rfam family "Bacterial small subunit ribosomal RNA", at positions 505 to 796 of the family's 1533-position model. The record is from RNAcentral.
GUGCCAGCCGCCGCGGUAAUACAGAGGGGGCAAGCGUUGUUCGGAAUUACUGGGCGUAAAGGGCGCGUAGGCGGCCUUCUAAGUCGAACGUGAAAUCCCUGGGCUCAACCCAGGAACUGCGUCCGAUACUGAAAGGCUUGAAUCCGGGAGAGGGAUGCGGAAUUCCAGGUGUAGCGGUGAAAUGCGUAGAUAUCUGGAGGAACACCGGUGGCGAAGGCGGCAUCCUGGACCGGUAUUGACGCUGAGGCGCGAAAGCCAGGGGAGCAAACGGGAUUAGAUACCCGUGUAGUCC